GGCUAUCACUGGGAGAUGGGCCUGCGGCGCAUUAGCUAGUUGGUGGGGUAACGGCCUACCAAGGCGACGAUGCGUAGCCGACCUGAAAGGGUGACCGGCCACACUGGGACUGAGACACGGCCCAAACUCCUACGGGAGGCAGCAGUAGGGAAUUUUCCACAAUGGACGAAAGUCUGAUGGAGCAACGCCGCGUGAACGAUGAAGGUCUUCGGAUUGUAAAGUUCUGUUGUCAGGGACGAACAAGUACCGUUCGAACAGGGCGGUACCUUGACGGUACCUGACGAGAAAGCCACGGCUAACUACGUGCCAGCAGCCGCGGUAAUACGUAUGUGGCAAGCGUUGUCCGGAUUUAUUGGGCGUAAAGCGCGCGCAUGCGGCUA
RNAcentral lists this ribosomal RNA (380 nucleotides) under [Frankia] sp. CeKN. Its description in RNAcentral is "bacterial SSU rRNA". It matches the Rfam family "Bacterial small subunit ribosomal RNA", at positions 210 to 581 of the family's 1533-position model. The record is from RNAcentral.